ACUGCUCAGUAACACGUGGACAACCUGCCCUAUAGUGGGAAAUAAUCUCGGGAAACUGAGGGUAAUAUCCCAUAGGCCUCCGAUACUGGAAUGUUCGGAGACUCAAAGCUCCGGCGCUGUAGGAUGGGUCCGCGGCAGAUUAGCUAGUAGGCGGUGUAAUGGACCACCUAGGCUAUAAUCUGUAAGGGUCGUGAGAGCGAUAGCCCUGAGACGGAAUCUGAGACACUAUUCCGAGCCUUACGGGGUGCAGCAGGCGCGAAAACUUUACACUACACGAAAGUGUGAUAAGGGGAUUCCAAGUGUGCUUAUACCAUAAGCACUUUUUCGGAGUUUAAAACGCUCCGGGAAUAAGGGGUGGGCAAGACUAGUGCCAGCCGCCGCGGUAAAACUAGCAUCUCGAGUGGCAGUCACACUUAUUGGGCUUAGAGCGUCCGUAGCUCGUCCGGAAAGUCUUUGGUGAAAUCCUGCAGCUUAACUGUAGGGCGCGCCGGAGAAACUACCGGGCUCGAGGGCAGGAGAGGUCGGGGGUACUUCUGGGGUAGGGGUGAAAUCCUAUAAUCCUAGAAGGACCAACAGUGGCGAAGGCGCCCGACAUGAAUGCGCCUGACAGUGAGGGACGAGAGCCAAGAGCGCGAAACGGAUUAGAUACCCGUGUAGUCUUGGCCGUAAACGAUGCUGACUAGGUGGGGUGCGACCUUAGAGGUCGUGCUAUGCCGAAGAGAAAUCGUUAAGUCAGCCGCCUGGGGAGUACGACCGCAAGGUUGAAACUUAAAGGAAUUGGCGGGGGAGCAC
Molecule: ribosomal RNA, 792 nt
Filed under: uncultured archaeon
Lineage: Archaea
Description: bacterial SSU rRNA
Rfam family: Archaeal small subunit ribosomal RNA
Source: RNAcentral